Molecule: long non-coding RNA, 352 nt
Organism: Manis javanica (Malayan pangolin)
Lineage: Eukaryota; Metazoa; Chordata; Mammalia; Pholidota; Manidae
Source: RefSeq, a predicted model, not a curated record
UACCGUGGCCUCCAGAAAGGGGCCUUGUUUGUUUUCGCAAGCCCGAUCCAGUUUAAGUCCUCAAGGCAGCGUCCCCUGCUUGCCACAGAAAAAGAGAAUCUCUCAGGAGAAGAAGAAAAAAAGUGCAGUCUUUGGAAUAUGCAGCUGUUCAUGAGAAAAAGUGGGACAUUUAGAAGCAUCGACAAAUUGAAUUUUAUUUGCAUGCCUCUACAAGUGGUAAGCCUCUCCCAGGAGUGGACCAGGAGUCAGUCUGGAAUUACCUGGUCAGCACUAGUGAGAUAGUCUGCCUGGUGGACUCUGGCCAUCUACCAAAGUAAGGUGCCCUUGCUAGAAACUUCCUUGUCCCACCCCC